AGAAUUCACCAGAAUGAAGCUGUAGCUGAACCAGAGCUAUGCACACAAAUACUGAAGGAAGAGAUAAUUUUCUACCAAGAAUUGAAAGAGAAAUUGUUCUUAUAUAAUAAUGGGGGUAUAACCAUUAGUAAUUAUUUACCAGAAUGAAGCACAAAGAAAAAGAAUAAUGAAACUAGGAGAAAAUGUGGUGGUUUUAGAUGUUACAUAUAAAGGUUUUUCCUGGGCAUGAAAUACCAUUUCCUUGGUGGGUAUGCCAAUA
Long non-coding RNA from Mytilus trossulus (common blue mussel), 259 nucleotides. RefSeq lists it as uncharacterized. The record is from RefSeq and is a predicted model, not a curated record. The transcript has 3 exons. NCBI's taxonomy places the organism in Eukaryota, Metazoa, Mollusca, Bivalvia, Mytilida, Mytilidae.